Non-coding RNA from Pelobates cultripes (western spadefoot toad), 710 nucleotides. Lineage: Eukaryota; Metazoa; Chordata; Amphibia; Anura; Pelobatidae. The record is from the annotation of a GenBank genome assembly.
CCUUAAUACCAUUAAGCUUUACCACAGAGGGGUACAACACCACGUCCUCACUAACUUUCCUAAUCAUGUACCUUUCUUAGCAUCAUACCCUAUUAAGAACAUGCUUAACGGUAUUCACAAUGUUACAGUUCCCCUUGUCACUACCAGAUUGCCAAUAGAUGGUCCUAUUUUCAGACUACUUAGCGACCUACUGGACAAAUCCCCGUUCGACUAUCACACUAGCCUGGUUAUAAAGGCAGCUAUCUUUAUUGCUUUCUAUAGCUUCCUUAGACCUAAGGAGUUCAGUCAUACGCCAGGUAGAUACUACAUCAACCUUAAACUAUCUCAUCUAAAGAAAGUCGAUGACCACUAUGUACCAUUACCUUCCACAAAGACUAACCACACCAAUCAUCCCACUAUCAUUCCUCUCUUUCCUACCGAGAAUGCCUGGUGUCCAGUCAAAGUGCUUGACAUUUUUCUUGUAUCUCACCACGCACACUCACUGGACACUCCACUAUUAGUACUCCAAGGGCACCCACUCACCACAGCUAAAUUCACAUCUCUCGUCAGGACUCUCAAGGUUGGGCUACAACCCGACUUCCUUCUCCGGUCACUCCUAUCUUAUAGGUGUAGCAUCUUCCGCAUCAAGCUCAAACACACCAGUCCACAUCAUUAAGAGACUGGGCGGCUGGAAAUCCUCUAUUUACAAUACUUGCAUACCAUGACCGGAG